Molecule: ribosomal RNA, 486 nt
Filed under: uncultured bacterium
Lineage: Bacteria
Description: partial 16S ribosomal RNA
Rfam family: Bacterial small subunit ribosomal RNA
Source: RNAcentral
AUUGAACGCUGGCGGCAUGCCUUACACAUGCAAGUCGAACGGCAGCACGGGUGCUUGCCCCUGGUGGCGAGUGGCGAACGGGUGAGUAAUACAUCGGAACAUGUCCUGUAGUGGGGGAUAGCCCGGCGAAAGCCGGAUUAAUACCGCAGACGAUCCACGUAUGAAAGCGGGGGACCUGCGGGCCUCGGGCUUUAGGGUUGGUCGAUGGUUGAUUAGCUAGUUGGUGGGGUAAAGGCCUACCAAGGCGACGAUCAGUAGCUGGUCUGAGAGGACGACCAGCCACACUGGGACUGACACACGGCCCAGACUCCUACGGGAGGCAGCAGUGGGGAAUUUUGGACAAUGGGCGAAAGCCUGAUCCAGCAAUGCCGCGUGUGUGAAGAAGGCCUUCGGGUUGUAAAGCACUUUUGUCCGGAAAGAAAUCCUUGGCUCUAAUACAGUCGGGGGAUGACGGUACCGGAAGAAUAAGCACCGGCUAACUACGUG